This 109-nucleotide non-coding RNA is filed under the name Dermacoccus nishinomiyaensis. RNAcentral describes it as "SAM-IV sequence". It matches the Rfam family "SAM (S-adenosyl methionine) riboswitch aptamer". Rfam says of the family: SAM-IV is a mRNA element that regulates gene expression via direct sensing of S-adenosylmethionine (SAM or AdoMet). SAM-IV riboswitches share conserved nucleotide positions with the previously described SAM-I riboswitches sequence analysis and molecular recognition experiments suggest that SAM-I and SAM-IV riboswitches share similar ligand binding sites, but have different scaffolds. Lineage: Bacteria; Bacillati; Actinomycetota; Actinomycetes; Micrococcales; Dermacoccaceae. The record is from Rfam by way of RNAcentral.
GGUCAAGAGUUUCAGCGACACAAGCCCCGGCUUGCUGAGCGGCAACCCUCCCUCGCGGCGGGGUGCCCCGGGUGACGACAGGGCCGCCCGUGGGCGGCAAGCGCGAGAG